Molecule: ribosomal RNA, 687 nt
Filed under: Salmonella enterica
Lineage: Bacteria; Pseudomonadati; Pseudomonadota; Gammaproteobacteria; Enterobacterales; Enterobacteriaceae
Description: partial 23S ribosomal RNA
Rfam family: Bacterial large subunit ribosomal RNA
Source: RNAcentral
GAGGGAAAGGCGAAAAGAACCCCGGCGAGGGGAGUGAAAAAGAACCUGAAACCGUGUACGUACAAGCAGUGGGAGCACAGGUUUACCUGUGUGACUGCGUACCUUUUGUAUAAUGGGUCAGCGACUUAUAUUCUGUAGCAAGGUUAACCGAAUAGGGGAGCCGGAGGGAAACCGAGUCUUAAUUGGGCGUUAAGUUGCAGGGUAUAGACCCGAAACCCGGUGAUCUAGCCAUGGGCAGGUUGAAGGUUGGGUAACACUAACUGGAGGACCGAACCGACUAAUGUUGAAAAAUUAGCGGAUGACCUGUGGCUGGGGGUGAAAGGCCAAUCAAACCGGGAGAUAGCUGGUUCUCCCCGAAAGCUAUUUAGGUAGCGCCUCGUGAAUUCAUCUCCGGGGGUAGAGCACUGUUUCGGCUAGGGGGCCAUCCCGGCUUACCAACCCGAUGCAAACUGCGAAUACCGGAGAAUGUUAUCACGGGAGACACACGGCGGGUGCUAACGUCCGUCGUGAAGAGGGAAACAACCCAGACCGCCAGCUAAGGUCCCAAAGUCAUGGUUAAGUGGGAAACGAUGUGGGAAGGCCCAGACAGCCAGGAUGUUGGCUUAGAAGCAGCCAUCAUUUAAAGAAAGCGUAAUAGCUCACUGGUCGAGUCGGCCUGCGCGGAAGAUGUAACGGGGCUAAACCAUG